GUCUACAGCCAUGCCACCCUGAACGUGCCUGAUCUCAUCUGUUUUUUGGAAGCUAAGCAGGGUUGGGCCUGGUUAGUACUAGGACGGGAGACCGCCCAGGAAGACCUAGGUGCUGUAGGCA
Molecule: ribosomal RNA, 121 nt
Organism: Pteropus vampyrus (large flying fox)
Lineage: Eukaryota; Metazoa; Chordata; Mammalia; Chiroptera; Pteropodidae
Source: Ensembl